This 206-nucleotide unclassified non-coding RNA is filed under the name Hevea brasiliensis (rubber tree). Lineage: Eukaryota; Viridiplantae; Streptophyta; Magnoliopsida; Malpighiales; Euphorbiaceae. The record is from RNAcentral.
GGCGGUGGAUCCGCUGAGUGGGGCGAGCUAUAAUGCGCAUGGAUUGUACGGGAGGAAGUAUCUCUUACCGGCCAUGUGGGACCCCAAGACUUCUCAGUGCUCUACACUCGUGUAGAGAAUAAAACAACACGUGUGUAAAUUCUUUGUUCGUCUCCUUAUCGUUUUAUUGUUGUGUGAAAUGAUGAAACCUGUGUCUAAUAAUAAAG